GAUGAAGAACGUAGCGAAAUGCGAUAAUUAAUGUGAAUUGCAGAAUUUAGUGAAUCAUCGAAUCUUUGAACGCACAUUGCGCCCCUUGGUAUUCCGGGGGGCAUGCCUGUUCGAGCGUCAUUAUAACCCCUCAAGCUCAGCUUGGUGUUGGGGCCUGCUGCACUGGCAGCCCUUAAAAUCAGUGGCGGCGCCAUCUGGCUCUAAGCGUAGUAAUUCUUCUCGCUAUGGAGUCCUGGUGGAUGCUUGCCAUCAACCCCCAAUUUUUCUAUGGUUGACCUCGGAUCAGGUAGGGAUACCCGCUGAACUUAAGCAUAUCAAUAAGCGGAGGA
RNAcentral lists this unclassified non-coding RNA (329 nucleotides) under soil metagenome. RNAcentral describes it as "partial contains 5.8S ribosomal RNA, internal transcribed spacer 2, and large subunit ribosomal RNA". The stretch from base 1 to 120 matches the Rfam family "5.8S ribosomal RNA", at positions 35 to 154 of the family's 154-position model. The record is from RNAcentral.